Molecule: ribosomal RNA, 232 nt
Filed under: uncultured Fusobacteriaceae bacterium
Lineage: Bacteria; Fusobacteriati; Fusobacteriota; Fusobacteriia; Fusobacteriales; Fusobacteriaceae
Description: partial 16S ribosomal RNA
Rfam family: Bacterial small subunit ribosomal RNA
Source: RNAcentral
CGACGGGUGAGUAACGCGUAAGGGACUUGCCUGCAGUCAGGGAUAACAGACGGAAACGACUGAUAAAACCUGGUAAAGUCAGACGGACUCAUGUCCUGCCUGAUGAAAAGGAAUGCUGCAGGAGAGCCUUGCGUCCUAUUAGCUUGUUGGUGGGGUAACGGCCCACCAAGGCGAUGAUAGGUAGCCGGCCUGAGGGGGUGGACGGCCACAAGGGGACUGAGAUACGGCCCUU